Olea europaea var. sylvestris is the source of this 159-nucleotide long non-coding RNA. RefSeq lists it as uncharacterized. The record is from RefSeq and is a predicted model, not a curated record. Lineage: Eukaryota; Viridiplantae; Streptophyta; Magnoliopsida; Lamiales; Oleaceae. The transcript has 2 exons.
AUAACUAAAUAACAUGGGGUUGGAGAUGCUGAUGAAUAUGUUUGGCGGACUCGGAGCUGGCGGUUUGUCCAUCCCAAGCAAUCCUAAUGUGCCCCCGGAAGAACUUUAUGCAACUCAAUUAUCACAGCUUCAAGAGAUGGGUUUCUUUGACACCCAAGA